This 469-nucleotide ribosomal RNA is filed under the name uncultured bacterium. RNAcentral's name for it is "partial 16S ribosomal RNA". It matches the Rfam family "Bacterial small subunit ribosomal RNA", at positions 28 to 507 of the family's 1533-position model. The record is from RNAcentral.
GACGAACGCUGGCGGCGUGCUUAACACAUGCAAGUCGAACGGAAAGGCCCUGCUUGCAGGGUGCUCGAGUGGCGAACGGGUGAGUAACACGUGGGUGAUCUGCCCCUUACUUUGGGAUAAGCCUGGGAAACUGGGUCUAAUACUGGAUAGGACCAUGCUGUAGGUGGUGUGGUGGAAAGCUUAGUUUCGGUAAGGGAUGAGCUCGCGGCCUAUCAGCUUGUUGGUGGGGUAAUGGCCUACCAAGGCGUCGACGGGUAGCCGGCCUGAGAGGGUGGACGGCCACAUUGGGACUGAGAUACGGCCCAGACUCCUACGGGAGGCAGCAGUGGGGAAUAUUGCACAAUGGGCGCAAGCCUGAUGCAGCGACGCCGCGUGGGGGAUGACGGCCUUCGGGUUGUAAACUCCUUUCAGCCAUGACGAAGCCCUUGUGGUGACGGUAGUGGUAGAAGAAGCACCGGCUAACUACGUG